This 253-nucleotide ribosomal RNA is filed under the name uncultured bacterium. Its description in RNAcentral is "partial 16S ribosomal RNA". It matches the Rfam family "Bacterial small subunit ribosomal RNA", at positions 524 to 776 of the family's 1533-position model. The record is from RNAcentral.
UACGGAGGGGGCUAGCGUUGUUCGGAAUUACUGGGCGUAAAGCGCACGUAGGCGGUUUGGAAAGUCAGGGGUGAAAUCCCGGCGCUCAACCCCGUAAUGGACUUUGAAACUCCCAGUCUCGAGGUCGAGAUAGGUGAGUGGAAUUCCCAGUGUAGAGGUGAAAUUCGUAGAUAGUCGGAGGAACACCAGUGGAGAAGGCGGAUCACUGGCUCGAUUCUGACGUUGAGGUGCGAAAGAGUUGGGAGCAAACAGG